Non-coding RNA from Sturnus vulgaris (Common starling), 105 nucleotides. NCBI's taxonomy places the organism in Eukaryota, Metazoa, Chordata, Aves, Passeriformes, Sturnidae. The record is from RefSeq and is a predicted model, not a curated record.
UCUACAGUGGGGUAAUAGCAUUGGUGGAUAAGGGAAGAGCAACUGACAUCAUCUACCUGGUCUUGUGCAAAGCAUUUGCCACUGUCCUGCAUGACAUCCCUUGUC